GCCUUAUUUAUUAGAAUCAUACAAGUCAGUAGAGCAUGAGACUCAGAAUCUCAGGGUUGUGGGUUCAAGCUCCACUUUGGGCA
Non-coding RNA from Podarcis lilfordi (Lilford's wall lizard), 83 nucleotides. Lineage: Eukaryota; Metazoa; Chordata; Lepidosauria; Squamata; Lacertidae. The record is from the annotation of a GenBank genome assembly.